RNAcentral lists this long non-coding RNA (885 nucleotides) under Citrus sinensis (sweet orange). RNAcentral describes it as "long non-coding RNA (CSIN_LNC005694)". The record is from RNAcentral. Lineage: Eukaryota; Viridiplantae; Streptophyta; Magnoliopsida; Sapindales; Rutaceae.
UUGGCCAAAACAAAUGCUUCCUUGUUGCCUCCUUGAUCUUUUCCUGGCUGGUGAUUCCUGAAUGUUCUUCUCAUUUUGAUAUGCUGAGUCGUUUGCUGAUUAUAAAUGCUAAUCACCUUAAAUUUUCUUAGUCUUCUUCUUCAUGUGAAAUUCUACCUAAUGGCUAUCCUUUUAUCUGGUUUGAAUUCUUCUUUUUUCUUUGAAUUGUUGAUUUCUAAUGUUCUUGUCAUUCGCACAUGUGGCGUUCUGCACUCUUGCAAUGCCAUUUCUUAUUAUGGCAGCAGCAUUCUUGGUCAUGGCAUCACAAGCAAAUGCUUUUGAAUUGCUUUGUUUGAUUUUUGUUUCUAAUAUUUUUUUUUUUGGCAUUGUGGGAUACUGUUUCUCUUUUGAUUUUCUGUCUUUGUUGUUAUGGGAUUCUGGUAUAGUAUGCAUCAGUACACAUAUGAAGAUGAUGUGAUAAAGUGCUUUUGAUAAAUUGCCCCAGUCAGUUUACUUCACAAACCAACCAUUAAUGAGCAAAUCCUUCUAAUGACCCUUGUACACAUUAGAAUAAAUACAAUUCUAUAUAUACACAAAAAUAAAUAACUCUCAAGUAUAUUAUUUGAUAAUCGCAAAAGCAACAAUUCACUCCAAUAAAUCUCAUAACACACUCAUGUUCUAUGUUGCAAGUCUUUGUAGAGAAAAAAUGAAGGACACACAAUUGAAUUUUUUCUAUAAUAAAGAACUCUAAACAAAUUCAUAUACAUAUUGCAGUACCCCUUACAAAUUCAUUUGUUUCUUCUUUUCCUUUGAUCAAGUGCUAAUUACAGCCUUGAUAUUUCAUUUGGUUUUAGUUAAUUUUCUAUAGGGUUGUGUUGUGUGAAAUUAAUUACAAAACAAUCUUUA